RNAcentral lists this transfer RNA (65 nucleotides) under Geocalamus acutus. RNAcentral's name for it is "tRNA-Lys". It matches the Rfam family "tRNA". From Rfam's summary of the family: Transfer RNA (tRNA) molecules are approximately 80 nucleotides in length. Their secondary structure includes four short double-helical elements and three loops (D, anti-codon, and T loops). Lineage: Eukaryota; Metazoa; Chordata; Lepidosauria; Squamata; Amphisbaenidae. The record is from RNAcentral.
CACUAAGAAGCUUACGCUAUAGCACUAGCCUUUUAAGCUAGCGAGGGAUUCAAAUCCCUUAGUGA